UCUAGUACUUUUUUUGUGAUCCUUUAUCCCACUGUUAUAUACUUUUCAUUUUGAUUAAUCCUUGUAGUGCAGGGAAAGCUGUUUAAUUCUGUUGUGAUCACCUCUCCCAAAGAGGCAACAGGAUUUUCCUGAAAUGAGUGUAUUUGUUUGAGUGAGGGUGCUUUUCCAAACAACCUACUUUGUCUUCAUUAGAAAACUGCAGUGAUGGAUCUGCAGGGCUGUCACUUGUGGUGAGGGACUUCUAAGCCCAGACUAUGUUUGACUUCUGUUUCUGUUAGGUCUUUGCUAGACUGGGAAACUGUUAUCACAGUUUGGUUCCACGGAGGUGUGCAUGAACCUCGGCUUUGAUAAGCUAAUGAGACAGAGCUCUCUCACUGAAAUGCAUCAUCCUUUAAUCAGCCCUGUGACUCUGCUCCUGGCUGCUCCGAAUUUAAAGAGAGAGCCCUUAGGUACAGGAAGAUCCUCAGUGAGAACAAUUGCUUUGGAGGGCUGGAACUGUUGUAUGGUGCUGAGGAGGCCUCAGCAGGUGAUAAGAAAGGCAUGAGAACAGGCUGGAAGGAGAAUGAACUACUGAGGGGCCCAAGCUGAAAGAAAUAAAGACUUCCAGUACAUCACCCUGACAGUAAAGAACCAAGAAAAAGUGAAGUCUGAGCCUGGAUUUGGGUGAGUCCUGUGCCUGCUGGUCCUGAGGUUUCCUGGGAUGGGAUGAGCUGCAGGAGUGUGCAGUGCUGCAGGAACCAGGAGGCCUUUCCAUCCAGCAUCUUCUGGGUACCAAACGGGGCUGGGUUCGUGUUUUCUUCCCUCCUGACAGCUGGUGGGAGGCUGGUUCCUGAUAGGUUUCAAUACAGUGUUUGCAAACGUGUAUUUCUCUGAGUUUUACAUGUAAUUUGCCCAUAUUAUUACUAUAAUUUGGUUUUUAUUCCUCUGGAGGCUGCAGAAGUCUUCAGGAUACUCUUAAUAUGCAUGGUGGGAAAUGGGCUGUUUGCAAAUUAGUAACAAACUAUAAUAAUUACUUUGCUUUCCCCUUGAAAUGCUAAUCUGGAGCUUUGAUGACCACAAAAUUCCCAUGUAAAGCCACGCAGAUCCUCAGCUGCAUUUGUUGGAUCUGUUUAGAUCCCUGCCUGGUGUCUAAAAGAGGCAACAGUGCCUGUGAACAUCUCUGGCCACUUCCUCCCACACGCUGCUGGCUGUGGGCUCCUGUCUGCUGGGAUGUCUAUAUACAGCACAGCUGUAGGUGUCACUUUGUGUGGUUUGACCUGUGUCCAUAAGUUAAAGUUGCUAAGAAUGACCACAGUGAUAAUUUAAUAGGAAAUGCUGAGCUAGUGGUGAAUUUUCUAGAAAUAACUGCAAAGAAAAUAUUGAGCGUUUGAAAAUUCAUGGGAACAAACAUACACUUUGAGGACCUGAAGCCAUGAGAGGAAAACCAGUUUGUAAACUAGUGCUGAUCUUGAUCAGUGUGGUAGAAAUUCAUGUUUAAUCAUGAUAAAAACAUUUGGGGUAAUAUAAAAACUCUUGAUGUACAAAUCUUGGUGUGAUUCCGUCCUGCCCACUGUGAGCCUGAGCCUCUGCUUGACUCCUCUUCCUCGUGGGCUGCCCAAGUGCCAUCUCUGGAGGGCCUCAGCUCCAGCUUUGCCUCACAGCAUCCCCAGAGCUCUGAAAGCACAGUGCCAGUGCACACAGCUCAGUCCAGGGCACAUUUCUCAGCAGCCCUCAGCCCUUUUCAGGGCGGGGGAGGCAAUGUCAGCGAGAUGUUGUGCUGGUUUCUCCUGCAGCACGGAGGGAUGCUCCUUUUGUGAUCUCCUCUCCUGUCCCCAACUUUUACAGCUGCUGCCUGCAUUGUCUUCGCUUUCCCCUAAUCCCUUUGGAAAAUUUGAGUAGAUUCUCUUCUGACAGCCACUGCUGCUGCUGUUUCUCUAGUGGAAAGGCAUUUCAGUAUCCCUGUUGUUGUUUUUUGGGCUCUGCCACCUGGAUGGAACUGGUGCAAAAGGCAUAACCGGGAGGAGGGAGCAAAAGGAGAAUGCUGAUAAGGAAAGGCAGGAGAACGCUGAUAAGGAAAGGCAGGAGAACGCUGAUAAGGAAAUGCAGGUGUCCUCCUGCACCCUCCUGCUUUGCUGUGGGAGAGGCACUGCCCGCACAAACAUCGCUGCCCUGGCUCCGCGCUGAACAUCUGCUGGCAGGAGCGGUGCUGAGCGUGGGGAUGCUGCUGUGUGACCGGGACAAAGCAGCCCUGGGGGCGGGGAUGCUCCGGGAUCGCUUUCAGCCUCCCCACCCUCGCGGGAAAGCAAACAGGGCAAUAAAGGUCACACAAGAAAGUGAGGAGAUCAUCUUAAAGAGAGCCUCUGCUGCACAGGAUGGACUCGUGCGGUGCUGCUGAGCAUCCUGAAAAGCAAACCAAUAGCGUCAGGGUGGAGGAAUUCCCACUGCACCCCCUCCUCCAGCCCCUCACCUCUCCUCGAGAUCAAAAAGGCAGCAGCAGUGCAGCCUUCUGUGCAUGAGAACAGAGCUGUGCAGGGGAGCAGCCGCAAGGGAAAGCUGCGCUCUGAAGAUGCUUGAAAAAUAAACAAUGGCACAUCAGCGCAGUGUGAGGUGGAUACCUGGGUCUGGAGGAGGAGGAAAGGAGGAGCCAUGUGUGCUUGGGAGCCUGCCUUCCCUUCCUCUGAACGGCAAAGGCUUCAUUUCCACAUCAGACCCGGGCAGCAUUGCCAGGAAGGGCAGUUCGGGAUGCUGCAUGCAGUGCAGCGCUGCAGGGAUUGCAUUUGUCACACUGCCUUGUGUCCUCUGCAGGCUGAAACGCCCCAGCACAAACCAUCCUGCACUGUCCCCUGGCGAGCAGGACACUGGUGGGAUGUGCCAGCGGUGGUUUUUUACCUUCAGCACAUGAUGGAAAACACUGGGGAACUCGAGGCUUUUCUGUCCCCAGAUUCUGGGCAUUAGCCUGACCUCUCUCUGCACCUGACAAAACCUCUCCGUGGUUGGUUUUAGUGCAACGUGGGGGUGUUGAGGGGACCAAAGCAGUGAACAGCUCCUGACAGACACGCUGAUGCCAGGGGCUGGAAGGCUGUGUGCAGGGCUGUUUUUACCCUGUCUGUCUCAGUUUCCCAGGAAGCUGUUUUGCUGCACGUCUGCUGUUGCUGACCCACCGCAUGGGAAGCCUUGAGUAAUCCCACACUGCUCUGAGCAUGUUUGAGAAGUUUUGUAUGACAAGAUCGCCCAGUGUCCUGCCCUUUGCUCUGCCCCCUCUCGUGUUUGUCACAUCUAAUAAUGGACAGAAAUGUGGUGUGUGCCACUGAACACGGGGAAUUUGUUUGUAUUCCAUGUUUGCCACAGCCUUUUAAUUUGAGGAGGGAGCGUGGGAGCAGGGAAUGGCUAAGAGCACUUCUCCCUGGUAGUUCUGUGCUGCAGCCAGAGAGAGCUCUUAGGGAGUGAUGUGAACUUGAGCUGAGGUGCUGGGCUUUGCAGGGGCAGUGCUGUCUGCAGGGCAGUGCUAAUGCCUUGAAAACUCUGGUUCAGGGUGGCUGAGCCAGCUGUCUGUGCCCUCUUAUCUGGGCCAGGGUGUCGGACACUGCCUUUCCAACAGAGAUGUUGCCACAUUUUAUUUUGCAAGGGAGGUGCUGCAGGAAGAUCUCUCAGGGUGUCUCCAUUCCCCAGCCUCGGUGGGGGCUCACACACUCUGAGCUGUGCUUGUGCUGCUGCCAGGCUCUGCACUGCCCUGUCCCUGUCCCCAGUGCUGGUACAUCUUGGGCUUGUUCCCUGCGUGGAUCCCAUACAGUCAGGCAACAACAGUAAGGUGUAAAAGUGCAGGGGAAUCCCAACUUGUGAAAUCCUGGUGGUUUUUCCAUGGUUACAUAUUUGGUUGGUGAAUGCAUCUGACCCUAAUUUCUGUGCCCAUGCUCUCUGUUCCUGAUGUAGCAGAUGUUGUUCCAACAACCACCUCCCAUCUUCUCUCCCUCCUGUUUCAUUCCUUCCUUGUGUGUCCAAAACAUGGUGAGUGAAUAAAGACUCUGUUGUUAGGUUGAAGACUUCAA
Catharus ustulatus (Swainson's thrush) is the source of this 4025-nucleotide long non-coding RNA. RefSeq lists it as uncharacterized. The transcript has 4 exons. The record is from RefSeq and is a predicted model, not a curated record. NCBI's taxonomy places the organism in Eukaryota, Metazoa, Chordata, Aves, Passeriformes, Turdidae.